RNAcentral lists this ribosomal RNA (340 nucleotides) under Armadillo officinalis (oak-woodland pillbug). Its description in RNAcentral is "partial large subunit ribosomal RNA". It matches the Rfam family "Bacterial large subunit ribosomal RNA", at positions 1954 to 2560 of the family's 2925-position model. Lineage: Eukaryota; Metazoa; Arthropoda; Malacostraca; Isopoda; Armadillidae. The record is from RNAcentral.
AGGUAGCAUAAUCAUUUGUUAUCUAAAUGAUAACUAGUAUGAAUGGUCUGACGAGAAAAUAACUUUCUAAAAAGAAGAGAUGAAAAUUUAUUUAAAAGUAAAAAAGCUUUAAAGCUUUAGAAAGACGAGAAGACCCUAGAACCUGUUCUAUUCAUAUAGUUUGUUGGGGUGACAUUAUUCAAAACAAAUAACUAUUAAAACUUAUUAAUUGACUCUAUCUAUCUUUAUUAAAAAAAAAAAAGGUACUCUAGGGAUAACAGCAUAAUCUUCUUCUAGAGCCCUAAUCGACAAGAAAGAUUUUGACCUCGAUGUUGAAUUGAUAUUUCUUUCUAAAGCAGAA